Molecule: ribosomal RNA, 120 nt
Filed under: Umezawaea tangerina
Lineage: Bacteria; Bacillati; Actinomycetota; Actinomycetes; Pseudonocardiales; Pseudonocardiaceae
Source: RNAcentral
GUUUCCGCGGUCAUGGCGGAGGGGAAACACCCGGUCCCAUUCCGAACCCGGUAGUUAAGCCCUCCUGCGCCGAUGGUACUGCACUGGUGACGGUGUGGGAGAGUAGGUCACCGCGGGACA